GCAAUAAUUAAGAAGUUCCAGUCAACUGGAAAUGUUAUGAAUCGACCUGGAAUUGGACGUGUGUCUGUAUCGUCUCGACGCACUGUGAAGAGGACGGUUCGAGUGGAUAAAACAUCUCCGAGGAUCCCAGCUGGAGAACUGCAGAGUCCACCAGCGUGGACCUUGAAAUGUGAAGGAUCUGGAGACCUCAUCAGGCGUUAUCGGGGAAGACUCAGAGCUGUUACCUCAGCAAAGCGAGAAAGCAAGAGCUGGGAGAAGGAGAAAUGGGUUUCGCAUUUUUUGGAAGGAGUCUCCAGUGUCAGAGGAAAAUAAUCGACUUGAGCGUGUA
Long non-coding RNA from Ictalurus punctatus (channel catfish), 328 nucleotides. The record is from Ensembl. Lineage: Eukaryota; Metazoa; Chordata; Actinopteri; Siluriformes; Ictaluridae.